Molecule: ribosomal RNA, 497 nt
Filed under: uncultured bacterium
Lineage: Bacteria
Description: partial 16S ribosomal RNA
Rfam family: Bacterial small subunit ribosomal RNA
Source: RNAcentral
GAUGAACGCUGGCGGCGUGCCUAAUACAUGCAAGUCGAGCGAACAGAUGAGGAGCUUGCUCCUCUGACGUUAGCGGCGGACGGGUGAGUAACACAUGGAUAACCUACCUAUAAGACUGGGAUAACUUCGGGAAACCGGAGCUAAUACCGGAUAAUAUAUUGAACCGCAUGGUUCAAUAGUGAAAGACGGUUUUGCUGUCACUUAUAGAUGGAUCCGCGCCGCAUUAGCUAGUUGGUAAGGUAACGGCUUACCAAGGCAACGAUGCGUAGCCGACCUGAGAGGGUGAUCGGCCACACUGGAACUGAGACACGGUCCAGACUCCUACGGGAGGCAGCAAUAGGGAAUCUUCCGCAAUGGGCGAAAGCCUGACGGAGCAACGCCGCGUGAGUGAUGAAGGUCUUCGGAUCGUAAAACUCUGUUAUUAGGGAAGAACAAAUGUGUAAGUAACUAUGCACGUCUUGACGGUACUUAAUCAGAAAGCCACGGCUAACUACGUG